UAGGGAAUCUUCGGCAAUGGACGGAAGUCUGACCGAGCAACGCCGCGUGAGUGAAGAAGGUUUUCGGAUCGUAAAGCUCUGUUGUUAGAGAAGAACGUUGGUAGGAGUGGAAAAUCUACCAAGUGACGGUAACUAACCAGAAAGGGACGGCUAACUACGUGCCAGCAGCCGCGGUAAUACGUAGGUCCCGAGCGUUGUCCGGAUUUAUUGGUCGUAAAGCGAGCGCAGGCGGUUCUUUAAGUCUGAAGUUAAAGGCAGUGGCUUAACCAUUGUACGCUUUGGACACUGGAGGACUUGAGUGCAGAAGGGGGGAGUGGAAUUCCAGGUGUAGCGGUGAAAUGCGUAGAUAUAUGGAGGAACACCGGUGGCGAAAGCGGCUCUCUGGACUGUAACUGACGAUGAGGCUCGAAAGCGUGGGGAGCAAACAGG
RNAcentral lists this ribosomal RNA (429 nucleotides) under Bacillota bacterium. RNAcentral's name for it is "Firmicutes bacterium partial 16S ribosomal RNA". It matches the Rfam family "Bacterial small subunit ribosomal RNA", at positions 355 to 776 of the family's 1533-position model. The record is from RNAcentral. Lineage: Bacteria; Bacillati; Bacillota.